UAUAGUAGACGUGCCCAGUCGUAGGGGGAUAACGUAGAGAAAUUUACGCUAAUACCGCAUACGAUCUAAGGAUGAAAGCGGGGGAUCGCAAGACCUCGCGCGAUUGGAGCGGCCGAUAUCAGAUUAGGUAGUUGGUGAGGUAAAGGCUCACCAAGCCGACGAUCUGUAGCUGGUCUGAGAGGACGACCAGCCACACUGGGACUGAGACACGGCCCAGACUCCUACGGGAGGCAGCAGUGGGGAAUUUUUGGACAAUGGGCGCAAGCCUGAUCCAGCAAUGCCGCGUGCAGGAUGAAGGCCUUCGGGUUGUAAACUGCUUUUGUACGGAACGAAACGGUGAGCUCUAAUACAGUUUGCUAAUGACGGUACCGUAAGAAUAAGCACCGGCUAACUACGUG
This 398-nucleotide ribosomal RNA is filed under the name uncultured bacterium. RNAcentral's name for it is "bacterial SSU rRNA". It matches the Rfam family "Bacterial small subunit ribosomal RNA", at positions 116 to 507 of the family's 1533-position model. The record is from RNAcentral.